Molecule: ribosomal RNA, 497 nt
Filed under: uncultured bacterium
Lineage: Bacteria
Description: partial 16S ribosomal RNA
Rfam family: Bacterial small subunit ribosomal RNA
Source: RNAcentral
GAUGAACGCUGGCGGCGUGCCUAAUACAUGCAAGUCGAGCGAACAGACGAGGAGCUUGCUCCUCUGACGUUAGCGGCGGACGGGUGAGUAACACGUGGAUAACCUACCUAUAAGACUGGGAUAACUUCGGGAAACCGGAGCUAAUACCGGAUAAUAUGUUGAAUCGCAUGGUUCAACAGUGAAAGACGGUCUUGCUGUCACUUAUAGAUGGAUCCGCGCCGCAUUAGCUAGUUGGUAAGGUAACGGCUUACCAAGGCAACGAUGCGUAGCCGACCUGAGAGGGUGAUCGGCCACACUGGAACUGAGACACGGUCCAGACUCCUACGGGAGGCAGCAGUAGGGAAUCUUCCGCAAUGGGCGAAAGCCUGUCGGAGCAACGCCGCGUGAGUGAAGAAGGUCUUCGGAUCGUAAAACUCUGUUAUUAGGGAAGAACAAAUGUGUAAGUAACUAUGCACGUCUUGACGGUACCUAAUCAGAAAGCCACGGCUAACUACGUG